Molecule: ribosomal RNA, 253 nt
Filed under: uncultured bacterium
Lineage: Bacteria
Description: partial 16S ribosomal RNA
Rfam family: Bacterial small subunit ribosomal RNA
Source: RNAcentral
GACAGAGGUGGCGAGCGUUGUUCGGAAUUACUGGGCUUAAAGGGCGAGUAGGCGGUGGGGCAAGUCUGAGGUGGAAUCCUACGGCUUAACCGUAGAACUGCCUUAGAAACUGUUUUACUUGAGUCAGUGAGGGGAGGGCGGAAUUCCCGGUGUAGCGGUGAAAUGCGUAGAUAUCGGGAGGAAGGCCUGUGGCGAAAGUGGCCCUCUGGCACUGUACUGACGCUGAGGCGCGAAAGCGUGGGGAGCAAACAGG